CACCCAUUGGAUCCUUCAUGUAGUCGGCCAUUUUGCUGCUCUUUACUGUGAAUGCACACUGUCGUUGAAUGUCUCCAUUGUCACACGGCACUUGCUUGUUCCCCAAUCCGCUCUUCUCUCCCCAAAA
This is a long non-coding RNA of Nanorana parkeri, 127 nucleotides long. RefSeq lists it as uncharacterized. The record is from RefSeq and is a predicted model, not a curated record. Lineage: Eukaryota; Metazoa; Chordata; Amphibia; Anura; Dicroglossidae. The transcript is spliced from 3 exons.